Long non-coding RNA from Girardinichthys multiradiatus, 1350 nucleotides. RefSeq lists it as uncharacterized. Lineage: Eukaryota; Metazoa; Chordata; Actinopteri; Cyprinodontiformes; Goodeidae. The transcript has 2 exons. The record is from RefSeq and is a predicted model, not a curated record.
UUGAGGUUUUGUUAUGUUUAACCUUGAUUUUUUUGUCUUGAGUUUAGCUUCUUUAUUGGACCUUGUUUAAGGGCACUGUAACAGUUAUUUGAAUUUUAUUAUUUUGGGGAAAUAAAACCCAUGUUCUUUGAAAAUUAUUACUGUGUCCUCAUGCUUGACCGGCGUGGUCCUUCACACAUGGUGUCAGGAGUGGGAUUUGCCAGUUGAGGACACAGUUUUUUUUUUGUUUUUGGCAGUUUUCUUAAGCCCAGUUUUUGUUUUUGUUUUGCUUUUUUGACUCUCCAUGUUUUUCCCUUUUUGACCAUGCACCGUGGAGCCAGGAAAAACAAACCAGAGACCCAACUAACAGAGGAGCCAUGUGCUGGAGAAGAGGAAAUGGAGGCUGGAGCUUCUACAAUGGCAGCACACACUGGGGGUGAAGAUGAUAAAGAACCAACACUGAGAGACCUGACUGGGAUUUUGCAAGCGUUCAUGGGCCAGCAGGAGGCACGGGAGGUAAAAUUAAACCAAGAAUGUGAGAUACAGGAACCGCGGUUUAAAGCCUUAAAACAUCAGUUUCAGCUACUACAAAUGGAAGUGCAGGCCCGCACAUCUCCACUCCCUGAACCCUCUUCAACUAAUCCAGAAACACAGGAGGAUGACUAUGAAGUUGUUCAGCGGGCCCAGGCUAUAUUUUCACCAGUCAAUAUAUCUUCAGGUCAGUCGCAAUUUUCUCUUGAGCCAAAGUUGCAGAAAUUGACAAGUGAAGAUGAUAUUGAACAUUUCCUUGUUACAUUUGAAAGAAUUGCAGCUGCCUGUAGAUGGCCAAAAGCAGACUGGGUUUUUCAACUUAUUCCUCUCCUUACGGGUAAGGCAAGAAGUGCCUAUGUUCAUAUGGAUGUUGAUGAGACGCUUAUGAUAAUGUGAAAACAGCAAUUUUGAAGAAGUAUGACAUUAAUCCAGAGACCUAUAGACAAAGGUUUCGUUCCCUGUAUGUUUACCCUGAUGAGAGCCCCAAAGAGCUGUAUGUGAGGCUAAAGGAGUUGUUUGGGAAAUGGAUUCUACCCAGAGGUGUGGAUAAAAGUGCAUGAUCCGAAAUCAGCUGCAGAAGCCUCCACCUUUGCUGAUGUGUUUGUGGCUGCUCAAAGGAAGGGCCAGCCAUGCAGUAACACUUCCUUUAAAGAUAAGGACACCUGCAGGCCAGCUCCAUCUCGGCAUCAACAGGGUUCAGCAACAGGUGUGAGUAAAAUCCCCGCCAGAAAUGAACUGCCUGCAAAUAUUCAUAAUAAAUUUAAUAAAAAAAUUCCAGCUUGUUACCUUUGUGGGCUGGAAGGGCACAUCAAACCUAUGUGUCCACAAAACCCUUUAAAA